Molecule: ribosomal RNA, 922 nt
Filed under: uncultured bacterium
Lineage: Bacteria
Description: bacterial SSU rRNA
Rfam family: Bacterial small subunit ribosomal RNA
Source: RNAcentral
AGAGUUUGAUCCUGGCUCAGAUUGAACGCUGGCGGCAUGCCUUACACAUGCAAGUCGAACGGCAGCACGGGUACUUGUACCUGGUGGCGAGUGGCGAACGGGUGAGUAAUACAUCGGAACGUACCUUAUCGUGGGGGAUAACGCAGCGAAAGCUGUGCUAAUACCGCAUACGCCCUGAGGGGGAAAGCGGGGGAUCGAAAGACCUCGCGCGAUUAGAGCGGCCGAUGCCUGAUUAGCUUGUUGGUGGGGUAAAAGCCCACCAAGGCGCCGAUCAGUAGCUGGUCUGAGAGGACGAUCAGCCACACUGGGACUGAGACACGGCCCAGACUCCUACGGGAGGCAGCAGUGGGGAAUUUUGGACAAUGGGGGAAACCCUGAUCCAGCAAUGCCGCGUGAGUGAAGAAGGCCUUCGGGUUGUAAAGCUCUUUUGUCAGGGAAGAAACACCGGCUCUAACACAGUCCGGGAAUGACGGUACCUGAAGAAUAAGCACCGGCUAACUACGUGCCAGCAGCCGCGGUAAUACGUAGGGUGCAAGCGUUAAUCGGAAUUACUGGGCGUAAAGCGUGCGCAGGCGGUUAUACAAGACAGGCGUGAAAUCCCCGGGCUUAACCUGGGAAUGGCGCCUGUGACUGUAUAGCUAGAGUGUGCCAGAGGGGGGUAGAAUUCCACGUGUAGCAGUGAAAUGCGUAGAUAUGUGGAGGAAUACCAAUGGCGAAGGCAGCCCCCUGGGAUAACACUGACGCUCAUGCACGAAAGCGUGGGGAGCAAACAGGAUUAGAUAUCCUGGUAGUCCACGCCCUAAACGAUGCUGACUAGUUGUUCGGAAUUUACAUUCUGAGUAACGUAGCUAACGCGUGAAGUCAGCCGCCUGGGGAGUACGGUCGCAAGAUUAAAACUCAAAGGAAUUGACGGGACCCGCAC